This 600-nucleotide long non-coding RNA is filed under the name Bos indicus x Bos taurus (hybrid cattle). Its description in RNAcentral is "lncRNA (ENSBIXG00000002352.1)". Lineage: Eukaryota; Metazoa; Chordata; Mammalia; Artiodactyla; Bovidae. The record is from RNAcentral.
CAUGAAGACAUUGAUUUGAGAAGUUGAAUAUGUGGUGAAGUGGACUUGCACAUGAAUUUCUAGCACUUAUCUGAUAAUUAUGUACAAAGUGCUAGAGGUGUGCCAAGGAGAGGGUCUUGAAUCCUGACUGUAAGCUUUGUAGAAGAAGUGACAUAUUUUCGCAGGUUCUAAAGGGUAGAACUUGUGCAAACAGAAAACAAAACACCAAGGAAGAGUGAGUGCAUGUGAAGGAACAGACACAAGGUCAGAAGGAACUUCAAGAACCAUCAGAGCAGCAGCCCAUGAAUUCACCUGAGAAGGGCCGAGUCUUCCUGCAAAUCAGCUGAGGAAUGAGAUGCCACUGGAUUUAGAUGAGGAGCUCCUUGGAGACAGAGACUCACUCCCUGCUUGUCCAGGACCAGUUUAUCAACACAAAAUUAAUUGUCUCUACACCUGUUCAUUUCAUGGGGAGACUGAAAAUAAGAAGAUAAUCUCUGUAGACUUCCAAAGGGAACUGUGCCUUCAUCAUUCCAUAUGACCCUGACGGCUGUGCCCUCCUCAGCCAGUGAGAGAACCUGUGACUCCUGGAAAUAAACUUGGCAAGUAAAUGAUGAGAAUACA